RNAcentral lists this ribosomal RNA (349 nucleotides) under uncultured bacterium. RNAcentral describes it as "bacterial SSU rRNA". It matches the Rfam family "Bacterial small subunit ribosomal RNA", at positions 917 to 1267 of the family's 1533-position model. The record is from RNAcentral.
GGGCCCGCACAAGCGGUGGAGUAUGUGGUUUAAUUCGAUGCAACGCGAAGAACCUUACCAGGGUUUGACAUCCUGCGAAUCUCUUGGAAACGAGAGAGUGCCUUCGGGAGCGCAGUGACAGGUGGUGCAUGGCUGUCGUCAGCUCGUGUCGUGAGAUGUUGGGUUAAGUCCCGCAACGAGCGCAACCCACGUCUUUAGUUGCCAGCAUUUAGUUGGGCACUCUAGAGAGACCGCCGGUGAUAAACCGGAGGAAGGUGUGGAUGACGUCAAGUCAUCAUGCCCCUUACAUCCUGGGCUACACACGUACUACAAUGGCUAGGACAGACGGCCGCAAACCCGCGAGGGGGAG